Molecule: unclassified non-coding RNA, 293 nt
Filed under: Hevea brasiliensis (rubber tree)
Lineage: Eukaryota; Viridiplantae; Streptophyta; Magnoliopsida; Malpighiales; Euphorbiaceae
Source: RNAcentral
AUUGGCGUCAAGCCAUGGAUGAUGAGUUCACCGCACUCAUGCAAACUGGCAUGUGGGAGUUAGUCCCUCACUCCAUAACCCACAAUAUCAUUAGCUGCAAGUGGAUUUUUUGGAUAAAGCACAAGCCUGAUGGUAGCAUUGAGUGCUAUAAGGCUAGCCUUGUUGCUAAGGGGUUUCACUAGCGCCCGAGGGUCGAUUUUACUGCCACUUUCUCUCUGAUUCUCAAGCCUAUUACUUUGAGGGUAAUCCUUGUCAUUGUUGUUUCAAAUUCUUGAGCAAUUAAGCAAUUGGAU